Molecule: non-coding RNA, 135 nt
Organism: Triticum aestivum (bread wheat)
Lineage: Eukaryota; Viridiplantae; Streptophyta; Magnoliopsida; Poales; Poaceae
Source: Rfam
UUUAUACUCCCUCCGUCUCAAAAUUCUUGUCUUAGAUUUUUAUAGAUAUUGAUGUAUCUAACACUAAAACGUAACUAGAUACAUUCGUAUUUAGACAAAUACAAGACAAGAAGUUUUGGACGGAGGGAGUACAUA